CCUACGGGAGGCAGCAGUGGGGAAUAUUGGGCAAUGGGCGCAAGCCUGACCCAGCAACGCCGCGUGAAGGACGAAGGCUUUCGGGUUGUAAACUUCUUUUCUGAGGGACGAAGAAAGUGCCGGUACCUCAGGAAUAAGCCACGGCUAACUACGUGCCAGCCGCCGCGGUAAUACGGAGGUGGAAAGCGUUAUGCGGUUUUAUUGGGUGUAAGGGGCGUGUAGGCGGGAAAGAAGGUCAGAUGUGAAAGCUCAGGGCGCAGCCCUGAGCCUGCCUUUGAAACUGUUUUUCUUGAGUGCUGGAGAGGCAAUCGGAAUUCCGGGUGUAGCGGUGAAAUGCAUAGAUAUACGGAGGAACACCAGUUGCGAAGGCGGAUUGCUGGACAGUAACUGACGCUGAGGCGCGAAAGCGUGGGUAGCAAACAGGAUUAGAUACCCUUGUAGUC
This 443-nucleotide ribosomal RNA is filed under the name uncultured bacterium. Its description in RNAcentral is "partial 16S ribosomal RNA". It matches the Rfam family "Bacterial small subunit ribosomal RNA", at positions 338 to 795 of the family's 1533-position model. The record is from RNAcentral.